UACGAAGGGGGCUAGCGUUGCUCGGAAUCACUGGGCGUAAAGGGUGCGUAGGCGGGUCUUUAAGUCAGGGGUGAAAUCCUGGAGCUCAACCCCAGAACUGCCUUUGAUACUGAGGAUCUUGAGUUCGGGAGAGGUGAGUGGAACUGCGAGUGUAGAGGUGAAAUCCGUAGAUAUUCGCAAGAACACCAGUGGCGAAGGCGGCUCACUGGCCCGAUACUGACGCUGAGGCACGAAAGCGUGGGGAGCAAACAGG
This 253-nucleotide ribosomal RNA is filed under the name uncultured bacterium. RNAcentral describes it as "partial 16S ribosomal RNA". It matches the Rfam family "Bacterial small subunit ribosomal RNA", at positions 524 to 776 of the family's 1533-position model. The record is from RNAcentral.